CCUACGGGGGGCUGCAGUGGGGAAUAUUGCACAAUGGGCGCAAGCCUGAUGCAGCCAUGCCGCGUGUGUGAAGAAGGCCUUCGGGUUGUAAAGCACUUUCAGCGGGGAGGAAGGCGGUGAGGUUAAUAACCUCAUCGAUUGACGUUACCCGCAGAAGAAGCACCGGCUAACUCCGUGCCAGCAGCCGCGGUAAUACGGAGGGUGCAAGCGUUAAUCGGAAUUACUGGGCGUAAAGCGCACGCAGGCGGUCUGUCAAGUCGGAUGUGAAAUCCCCGGGCUCAACCUGGGAACUGCAUUCGAAACUGGCAGGCUAGAGUCUUGUAGAGGGGGGUAGAAUUCCAGGUGUAGCGGUGAAAUACGUAGAGAUCUGGAGGAAUACCGGUGGCGAAGGCGGCCCCCUGGACAAAGACUGACGCUCAGGUGCGAAAGCGUGGGGAGCAAACAGGAUUAGAUACCCCUGUAGUC
RNAcentral lists this ribosomal RNA (465 nucleotides) under uncultured Klebsiella sp. Its description in RNAcentral is "bacterial SSU rRNA". It matches the Rfam family "Bacterial small subunit ribosomal RNA", at positions 338 to 795 of the family's 1533-position model. The record is from RNAcentral. Lineage: Bacteria; Pseudomonadati; Pseudomonadota; Gammaproteobacteria; Enterobacterales; Enterobacteriaceae.